GACGAACGCNGGCGGCGUGCUUAACACAUGCAAGUCGAACGAAGAGCGAUGGAAGCUUGCUUCUAUCAAUCUUAGUGGCGAACGGGUGAGUAACGCGUAAUCAACCUGCCCUUCAGAGGGGGACAACAGUUGGAAACGACUGCUAAUACCGCAUACGAUCUGACCUCGGCAUCGAGGAUAGAUGAAAGGUGGCCUCUACAUGUAAGCUAUCACUGAAGGAGGGGAUUGCGUCUGAUUAGCUAGUUGGAGGGGUAACGGCCCACCAAGGCGAUGAUCAGUAGCCGGUCUGAGAGGAUGAACGGCCACAUUGGGACUGAGACACGGCCCAGACUCCUACGGGAGGCAGCAGUGGGGAAUCUUCCGCAAUGGACGAAAGUCUGACGGAGCAACGCCGCGUGAGUGAUGACGGCCUUCGGGUUGUAAAGCUCUGUUAAUCGGGACGAAAGNCCUCUGCGAAUAG
RNAcentral lists this ribosomal RNA (460 nucleotides) under uncultured bacterium. Its description in RNAcentral is "bacterial SSU rRNA". It matches the Rfam family "Bacterial small subunit ribosomal RNA", at positions 28 to 465 of the family's 1533-position model. The record is from RNAcentral.